CUACGGGAGGCAGCAGUCAGGAAUAUUGGGCAAUGGGCGAAAGCCUGACCCAGCGAUGCCGCGUGUGUGAAGAAGGCCCUAGGGUUGUAAAGCACUUUCAGUCGUGAAGAAAAGCAUUGGGUUAAUACCCCGGCGUGUUGACGUUAACGACAGAAGAAGUACCGGCUAACUCCGUGCCAGCAGCCGCGGUAAU
This 193-nucleotide ribosomal RNA is filed under the name uncultured Gammaproteobacteria bacterium. Its description in RNAcentral is "partial 16S ribosomal RNA". It matches the Rfam family "Bacterial small subunit ribosomal RNA", at positions 339 to 524 of the family's 1533-position model. The record is from RNAcentral. Lineage: Bacteria; Pseudomonadati; Pseudomonadota; Gammaproteobacteria.